UCUCUCAGUAGGCUGGAAUCUCACCUGAGUCAGGUUUGGCUUCUGCUGCUGUUGCCUCUUGCAUAUUUAUAAUUUUGCUGAGAACCGGAGCCGCCGCUCGUCCUUUAUUGGCUGUGAGGAGCUGAAAUAGUCCAAUGACGGCGGAGGGGCUGGUCGGCAGACUCUUCUCAUAGCAACCAGGAAAGCAUCCCGAGAUUAUCAUCAGCACUAUCAUUAUCUGAGCACUCGCAGAGGGAACCGACUUCAGGCCACUGAGAAAAGGUCUUCCCACAUAAGCUCAUGAAUGAAUCAUGUUCUUACUGUGGUGGGAAAGUGUGUCACUGUCACAGGACGUCUCGACAUUGUACACCUUGAUGUGUUUCUGGACAAAAGCCUUGGCGUAAAAUGUGUCUUCUCUUCAAGUAACACGCAGUACACAGAGGUAAGUCCGUCUUUUAUCAAAAACUUCUGCAGUUAUUAAAAUAAAUAUGUGCGUUUGAUAUUUUUCUUUAAUUAUUAUGAGUAAAACAUAGUCCAUGAGAAUUAAAAGAAAUUGCAAAACAAAACAAUAAUAGAGCAACUUCAACUGUGUUCACAGCUGCUAAAAUAAAGCAAAAAUAAGAAACAACUAGACCCAAGAAACAGCACAUAGCGAAGACAAGAUCCUCGCACACAGACAGGCCUGCACAGCCCACCACAAAUGUUUUUACGGUUAAACAAAGUGUAUUUUUAAGGCUGAAUUUAGUGUAGAAGUGUGCCUUAACUUCUCCAAUGCAUGUCAA
This is a long non-coding RNA of Synchiropus splendidus (mandarinfish), 761 nucleotides long. RefSeq lists it as uncharacterized. The transcript has 3 exons. NCBI's taxonomy places the organism in Eukaryota, Metazoa, Chordata, Actinopteri, Syngnathiformes, Callionymidae. The record is from RefSeq and is a predicted model, not a curated record.